This 1166-nucleotide unclassified non-coding RNA is filed under the name Hevea brasiliensis (rubber tree). Lineage: Eukaryota; Viridiplantae; Streptophyta; Magnoliopsida; Malpighiales; Euphorbiaceae. The record is from RNAcentral.
AACUUGAGCAAAUCAAUUGUACAGAGCUAGCAUCCUAUGCUCCUACUUCAUACACGAACCUAAUACAAGUGCAUUCAGUAUCCUAAUCAACAUAAGCUGGACAAUAUACUAACACUAUCAACAAAAGGAGAACACAUCAAGUUGAAGCAACCAGCUUCAGGAGAUCUCCUAUGGGUUUGUUGAAGUCACUGCACUUACCUUCUCCACCAAGCCUUUUAUCUCAUUCUCCAACUCUGAUUUCUCAGCGCUUGUAAUCUUACCCUUGCACUUAUCCAAUAUUGAUGCCAUCCCUUUCAGCUUCUGCUUGAUUAGUUGUACCUGUGACUUCCCCUUACGAGCUUUUAGCGAGGAUAGUGGACUCUCAGAUUUAGAGGAAUAGCUGAGCGUAAAGUUCACAUUAGCAGCACCAAAAGGACUUUGCCUUACCGAUUCUUUAAAGGCCUGUGCAGCAUCUGCACCAUGCCUGUAGACAAUUCGAACAGAGUUCGAAUCACGAAGCACUUUUGUUUCCUCUUCAUUCAGCUCUCCAAACUUGUUAUAUAUUCGAAUGAUUUCAUCUUCUGGUGGCAAAGAAAAACCAGUCAAAAAUGCCACCAACAGAAUCACAGAUGAAGCUUCUCUACCAUCAUCCUCAUCUUCUUUUCCCUGACUAGAAGGACCAUAUUCUUUUUUGAGUUUGGUAACUUCUGAUUUUGCAUAAUUUGUCUUCCUCUUCUUUGAAGGAACGGAGUCUGGUGAUUCAGUAUCACUCUGGGAAAUUAGAUUUCCUGAUCCCGCGGAUUUUCUCUUCUUUCCUGUUUCCAUUUGGUGAUACUGCUUGUAGUUUGAUCCAUCAAAAUAUAGCGAGUUUCUGAAAGUGGAAAUGAAACCUCUGGCCUUCUCAAGAGAUCCAUUCCUCAACAGAAGAGGGUUUAGAGCAGUAGACUGAACCUCGGACAAAACUUCAUCCACAGAUGAAUUGAUAGCCAUGGUAUCAAAAGUCCUAGAGCUUCGCUUAUUGAUCCCAGAACUCUUGUCAACGUCAUCCUUGAAGGCCUCUUUCCCAUUCGAAUCAGAAGAAGACAAAAGAAGACGAGCAGCCUUUGUCAUCCUCUCACCAAUCUUGGAAUUAUCAGAAAAUUUCUGUGAUUCUAUUGCCAGUUCUCUCUUAAAGCUUGAUUUUCCUG